Molecule: ribosomal RNA, 276 nt
Filed under: uncultured Saccharopolyspora sp.
Lineage: Bacteria; Bacillati; Actinomycetota; Actinomycetes; Pseudonocardiales; Pseudonocardiaceae
Description: partial 16S ribosomal RNA
Rfam family: Bacterial small subunit ribosomal RNA
Source: RNAcentral
UCGAACGCUGAAGCAUCUUCGGGUGUGGAUGAGUGGCGAACGGGUGAGUAACACGUGGGUAAUCUGCCCUGCACUCUGGGAUAAGCCCUGGAAACGGGGUCUAAUACCGGAUAGGACACGUGGCCGCAUGGUCUGCGUGUGGAAAGUUCCGGCGGUGCAGGUUGAGCCCGCGGCCUAUCAGCUUGUUGGUGGGGUGAUGGCCUACCAAGGCGACGACGGGUAGCCGGCCUGAGAGGGUGACCGGCCACACUGGGACUGAGACACGGCCCAGACUCC